Molecule: ribosomal RNA, 440 nt
Filed under: uncultured bacterium
Lineage: Bacteria
Description: partial 16S ribosomal RNA
Rfam family: Bacterial small subunit ribosomal RNA
Source: RNAcentral
CUACGGGGGGUAGCAGUGAGGAAUAUUGCACAAUGGGGGGAACCCUGAUGCAGCAACGCCGCGUGGAGGAUGACGCAUUUCGGUGUGUAAACUCCUUUUUAUAUGUCAAGAAAGUGACGGUAGCAUAUGAAUAAGCACCGGCUAACUCCGUGCCAGCAGCCGCGGUAAUACGGAGGGUGCAAGCGUUACUCGGAAUCACUGGGCGUAAAGGACGCGUAGGCGGGUUGGAAAGUCAGGUGUGAAAUCCUACAGCUUAACUGUAGAACUGCACUUGAAACUUCUAAUCUAGAGUAUGGGAGGGGGAGAUGGAAUUAGUGGUGUAGGGGUAAAAUCCGUAGAUAUCACUAGGAAUACCUAAAGCGAAGGCGAUCUCCUGGAACAUUACUGACGCUAAGGCGUGAAAGCGUGGGGAGCAAACAGGAUUAGAUACCCCCGUAGUC